AGCGGAUACUCUGGCAUACAUUCAAAGUAACUUGCUUGAACAACGAUACAGUUGUCCCAGUGAGGAUUAUGGCAUUCAGUGUGUACAAGCAACAUGUAAACUUCUAGAGAAGAUCUGCAAAAGAAUUAAUUACUACAGUCAUGCACAAAAUUUCACUGAUAUUCCUGUUGGUUGCAUGAACCUAGUGGCCUCCGUAUCAGGAUUUGCCCAGGUAUUCCAUUCUGCAAUUUUUGUUUUAAAUAGCUCAUUAAAGCCAGUAGAAUUGACUCAGUAUGUCUAAAUAUUUGUUCAACCUUAAGGCGAGACAACAAGCUGACACUUUUCCUGAGAAGACUCUUGUGUUACUCAAUGAGGCCAAGAAAUCUGUGAGGACAUGGAUCAGACAAACUUUCAAAGGCAGACUUUUGGACAGUAGCUAUAUGUCGGCUGUCAGAUUCACAACAGAGAUUGAGAUGUGGAAUAAUAUUAUAGCCAUAGAUUUCAUGAGUAAGGACUUCACUAAAGAAUGGAGAGAGACAUUUACACUGGACUUUGAGGGGAAAUACCAGCAGGAAGAUAAUCUGGAUCAAAUUGAGGUUUAUUGCUCAAAGAUUGAGAAACUUAAUGGCUCCCAGCCUUAUUUGGUGGAUAGUGUAGAGAAGUGUGCUCUCCAGGCUGUUACCACAAUAUGCCAGGUAAAGGUCUUUCACUUC
RNAcentral lists this long non-coding RNA (692 nucleotides) under Sinocyclocheilus anshuiensis. RNAcentral's name for it is "lncRNA (ENSSANG00000022050.1)". The record is from RNAcentral. Lineage: Eukaryota; Metazoa; Chordata; Actinopteri; Cypriniformes; Cyprinidae.